This 1462-nucleotide ribosomal RNA is filed under the name Streptococcus salivarius. RNAcentral's name for it is "bacterial SSU rRNA". It matches the Rfam family "Bacterial small subunit ribosomal RNA". Lineage: Bacteria; Bacillati; Bacillota; Bacilli; Lactobacillales; Streptococcaceae. The record is from RNAcentral.
GACCGGGGGGGGGGGUGCCUAAUACAUGCAAGUAGAACGCUGAAGAGAGGAGCUUGCUCUUCUUGGAUGAGUUGCGAACGGGUGAGUAACGCGUAGGUAACCUGCCUUGUAGCGGGGGAUAACUAUUGGAAACGAUAGCUAAUACCGCAUAACAAUGGAUGACACAUGUCAUUUAUUUGAAAGGGGCAAUUGCUCCACUACAAGAUGGACCUGCGUUGUAUUAGCUAGUAGGUGAGGUAACGGCUCACCUAGGCGACGAUACAUAGCCGACCUGAGAGGGUGAUCGGCCACACUGGGACUGAGACACGGCCCAGACUCCUACGGGAGGCAGCAGUAGGGAAUCUUCGGCAAUGGGGGCAACCCUGACCGAGCAACGCCGCGUGAGUGAAGAAGGUUUUCGGAUCGUAAAACUCUGUUGUAAGUCAAGAACGAGUGUGAGAGUGGAAAGUUCACACUGUGACGGUAGCUUACCAGAAAGGGACGGCUAACUACGUGCCAGCAGCCGCGGUAAUACGUAGGUCCCGAGCGUUGUCCGGAUUUAUUGGGCGUAAAGCGAGCGCAGGCGGUUUGAUAAGUCUGAAGUUAAAGGCUGUGGCUCAACCAUAGUUCGCUUUGGAAACUGUCAAACUUGAGUGCAGAAGGGGAGAGUGGAAUUCCAUGUGUAGCGGUGAAAUGCGUAGAUAUAUGGAGGAACACCGGUGGCGAAAGCGGCUCUCUGGUCUGUAACUGACGCUGAGGCUCGAAAGCGUGGGGAGCGAACAGGAUUAGAUACCCUGGUAGUCCACGCCGUAAACGAUGAGUGCUAGGUGUUGGAUCCUUUCCGGGAUUCAGUGCCGCAGCUAACGCAUUAAGCACUCCGCCUGGGGAGUACGACCGCAAGGUUGAAACUCAAAGGAAUUGACGGGGGCCCGCACAAGCGGUGGAGCAUGUGGUUUAAUUCGAAGCAACGCGAAGAACCUUACCAGGUCUUGACAUCCCGAUGCUAUUUCUAGAGAUAGAAAGUUACUUCGGUACAUCGGUGACAGGUGGUGCAUGGUUGUCGUCAGCUCGUGUCGUGAGAUGUUGGGUUAAGUCCCGCAACGAGCGCAACCCCUAUUGUUAGUUGCCAUCAUUCAGUUGGGCACUCUAGCGAGACUGCCGGUAAUAAACCGGAGGAAGGUGGGGAUGACGUCAAAUCAUCAUGCCCCUUAUGACCUGGGCUACACACGUGCUACAAUGGUUGGUACAACGAGUUGCGAGUCGGUGACGGCAAGCUAAUCUCUUAAAGCCAAUCUCAGUUCGGAUUGUAGGCUGCAACUCGCCUACAUGAAGUCGGAAUCGCUAGUAAUCGCGGAUCAGCACGCCGCGGUGAAUACGUUCCCGGGCCUUGUACACACCGCCCGUCACACCACGAGAGUUUGUAACACCCGAAGUCGGUGAGGUAACCUUUUGGAGCCAGCCGCCUAAAGGUGGGAAUAAAGGG